UGAGGAAUAUUGGGCAAUGCCCGCAAGGGUGACCCAGCAACGCCGCGUGGAGGAUGAAUGUCGUAAGAUUGUAAACUCCUGUUAGAGGGGAAGAAUAGUACCGGUUGGACCGGUAUAUGACUGUACCCUCAGAGAAAGCCCCGGCUAACUACGUGCCAGCAGCCGCGGUAAUACGUAGGGGGCAAGCGUUGUCCGGAUUUACUGGGUGUAAAGGGCGCGCAGGCGGGAUAAAAAGUCAGUGGUGAAAUCCUACAGCUUAACUGUAGAACUGCCUUUGAUACUUUUAGUCUUGAGUUCGGGAGAGAGAGACGGAAGUCCAGGUGUAGUGGUGAAAUACGUAGAUAUCUGGAAGAACACCAGUUGCGAAGGCGGUCUCUUGGUCCGACACUGACGCUGAGGCGCUAAAGCGUGGGGAGCAA
This 419-nucleotide ribosomal RNA is filed under the name uncultured bacterium. RNAcentral describes it as "bacterial SSU rRNA". It matches the Rfam family "Bacterial small subunit ribosomal RNA", at positions 355 to 771 of the family's 1533-position model. The record is from RNAcentral.